This 2453-nucleotide long non-coding RNA is filed under the name Sipha flava (yellow sugarcane aphid). RNAcentral describes it as "uncharacterized LOC112690834". Lineage: Eukaryota; Metazoa; Arthropoda; Insecta; Hemiptera; Aphididae. The record is from RNAcentral.
AUCCAUUUAUACAUAUAGUCUAUACGUCAUAAUAAUACGAGUAUGGUUGAGCGGUGAGGAACUGAUAUUGACGUACAUUUUUAUGAACUUCCAUGCAUUCUGAAUACGUAUUUUAAAUUGUACGUCACUGCUGCUUAUUAUAUAGGUUUUGUAGGGCAGAGCUGCUACUAGGUUUUGAGGAGUCCCAAUACGAACAAUCAUAUGAAUCCUUGCCCCUUCUGAAGUAUAGUCAUAGUCUAAAAAAAUAAAUGCAGCCAAGACUAAAACCCUACAAGAACAACACACAAACAAUGGAUAUAACAUCAGAAUAUGGGAAAUCAACUGAUGGAAAUCAGAAACGAAAUAGUUCGAGUAAAAAACAUAUUUCUUAAAAAAAAAGAGAAGACACGAAAACGAAUUUCAUAGUCAAAUAAUCGAGGGAAUGAUAAAAGGAACACGACUAAGAGAAGUGCCUAGAAUAAAAUCCAUCGGCCGAGCAAUAAAGGAUGCUUCCUGCAAGGAGCAAAAAGACACGGUAGAGGACAGAGAAAAUUUGAGAAAACAUUUAUUGCGAUUACAUUCGAGAAAACCAAUCUUAAGAUAGGGAAAAAAAAAUAAAUGUUUUUACGUGUCGUGCCUAUUAUCAACACGAAAUCAAAUAAUGUUUUUUCAAAGAGAUCGCGCGUGCAUCAUUGCUGGUCAGCAAAAUAAAAAAAAAAAACAAUUAUAAUCGACCAUAUAUGGUUAUUUGUGCUCACGGUGUAGAUUUCACGAGGUGUAAUAUCGGUAAACGAUGCAAUUAAUAAUCGUCGGGCUUGUCCCGUGGCUUCGUUCCAAUAUUCGGCGAACGAUUUUCAAGCAGACACAUCGUUUCGGUAAUUUAUAAAUAUUCUCCCCCCCCCCUACCAGUACCACCUUCGCAUUUUCAAAGCCCAUGUAAACGAUUAAGAAUAGGCGUCACGUAGGUAGAAUAUUAUCGUGUCUUCACGACAUGGGCUUCGAAAACGGGAGCAAGGAAGAUCGAAAACGAUUUGACGACGGCGCGUCGACGGCGUGUAUUAACACGUAAGACGCGAAUCCAACGGGGCUUCAACCCUCCGUUCGGACGUAUUAUGUAAUUAAUACUUAAUAGGUAUGUCUUCGAUCGAAGAACGGUAGAAAAACAAAUGAACUUGUAGAUUUUUCGUAUUUUGUCUUUUCAAAAUAAGUCACGAUUAAUAUCCAUUUGUAUGCACAGAAACGAUGUAUUUCGUCUAUCUGUAAACGCAGCGCCCCCUCCUCUCAAAUUCAUAUUUCCAGAUCCGUUCCCGAUACACGUCGUACAGUUCAGCCGAUAACAGUGUACGGCCCACAUCGACACAUUUCGAUCGACGCACGUUUGUGUGGCGGGCAAGGGUUCGGUGUAAAUCGCAAUCCUGGCACGCGGUGCAGGGAAGUCGCUGCGCGGAGGCGAUGUCGGGCGGUACACGCGUCCGUUGAAAUCCGAAGCGCAAAACGCGUAUCGUAUUACCUCACGGACGGUUCGGUCCGAUUUCCCAUUCGCGCCCGUCUUCAGGUUGGGUUACGCUUUGCGCCGUCGCGGAGUUCUCGAGAACUUUUUUUUUUUUUCUUCUCAACACGGCGAUCGCGCGUGCGGGGGGUACUGCGAACAGAACGAGACGUGAUAAUAACAAAAAAUCUUAAUAAUAAUAUUCGUGCGAUCAUUAUCGCUCGAUCGGUGUCGGCGGCCCGCGAACACUAUUUGUUUACGUUUUAAACGAUAUUACUACGUCGGACGCGCGUUGGUUUUCCAAAUUUCGGCAUUUCCCCCCCCCCCAUCCCGGUCGAAAAAUCGUUCGUAAAACGCGAUCCGAAGGAAUUUCAUUUAAUCGCGCGAUACCGACGCAACAAUAGCGCGACGCGUGCGUAACGUGGUAAGCGUCGAACACGCAAGCCCGAUUUCAAACGACGGCUGACCGGCACUCGGACCACGCGGUCAACCGUGAUCCUCGAAAAACGUAUCCGCGACAAAUCGCCUUAACAUACGGCGGCGACCCGGUCGAACAGUCGCCGUUUUCGUAUUCAAAUAUGUUCUGGUAAUAAUAAUAUUACAUUGUCCUUGACCAUCCCCCGCCGUACCUCUCGAGGAACCAAAGAGCUGACGGUUUGACACGCGCGCCUUAACAACACUUGUAAUAAUAAUAAUAAUAAUAAUAAUUAUGUGUUUUUUUUUCUCUCCGUGCGGACAUGGAACACGGCACAGUGUAUUACGUACGUGUGUACAAAACACAACACGUGAUCGCCGCCGAGAUCAUAAUAUUAUGGUUGGCCUACACGCGCGUCGCGCAAGGUCAUGGUUUUACACGUCGGUUCCGCGGCGCACGGUCGUUUCGCGCCGGUCGCGGUGGCAGCACUGGCACGGCGGCAGUGAGUCCGGCCGCCGCCGCGUCGAGGUCGUCUCCACCGCCGUGUACGGCACACACUCAGACCGACCG